RNAcentral lists this ribosomal RNA (413 nucleotides) under uncultured bacterium. RNAcentral's name for it is "bacterial SSU rRNA". It matches the Rfam family "Bacterial small subunit ribosomal RNA", at positions 505 to 916 of the family's 1533-position model. The record is from RNAcentral.
GUGUCAGCCGCCGCGGUAAUACGUAGGGAGCAAGCGUUAUCCGGAAUUACUGGGCGUAAAGGGUGCGCAGGCGGACAUUUAAGUGAGAUGUGAAAGACCCGGGCUUAACUUGGGCAGUGCAUUUCAAACUGGAUGUCUGGAGUGCAGGAGAGGAGAACGGAAUUCCUAGUGUAGCGGUGAAAUGCGUAGAGAUUAGGAAGAACACCCGUGGCGAAGGCGGGUGUCUGGACUGUAACUGACGCUGAGGCACGAAAGCGUGGGUAGCAAACAGGAUUAGAUACCCUGGUAGUCCACGCCGUAAACGAUGAGUACUAGGUGUAGGAGGUAUCGACCCCUUCUGUGCCGCAGUAAACACAAUAAGUACUCCGCCUGGGAAGUACGAUCGCAAGAUUAAAACUUAAAUGAAUUGACGG